GAUGAACGCUGGCGGCGUGCCUAAUACAUGCAAGUCGAGCGAACAGACGAGGAGCUUGCUCCUUCGACGUUAGCGGCGGACGGGUGAGUAACACGUAGGUAACCUACCUAUGAGACUGGGAUAACUUCGGGAAACCGGAGCUAAUACCGGAUAAUAUUUCGAACCGCAUGGUUCGAUAGUGAAAGAUGGCUUUGCUAUCACUUAUAGAUGGACCUGCGCCGUAUUAGCUAGUUGGUAAGGUAACGGCUUACCAAGGCAACGAUACGUAGCCGACCUGAGAGGGUGAUCGGCCACACUGGAACUGAGACACGGUCCAGACUCCUACGGGAGGCAGCAGUAGGGAAUCUUCCGCAAUGGGCGAAAGCCUGACGGAGCAACGCCGCGUGAGUGAUGAAGGUCUUCGGAUCGUAAAACUCUGUUAUUAGGGAAGAACAAACGUGUAAGUAACUGUGCACGUCUUGACGGUACCUAAUCAGAAAGCCACGGCUAACUACGUG
This 497-nucleotide ribosomal RNA is filed under the name uncultured bacterium. RNAcentral's name for it is "partial 16S ribosomal RNA". It matches the Rfam family "Bacterial small subunit ribosomal RNA", at positions 28 to 507 of the family's 1533-position model. The record is from RNAcentral.